Long non-coding RNA from Vigna unguiculata (cowpea), 401 nucleotides. RefSeq lists it as uncharacterized. NCBI's taxonomy places the organism in Eukaryota, Viridiplantae, Streptophyta, Magnoliopsida, Fabales, Fabaceae. The record is from RefSeq and is a predicted model, not a curated record.
AGAAAAUCAGAUUUCUCUCCUCUGAUCUUUUCUCCAGGUAGAGCUCUGCUAGGGCACAACGAACCUCCCUCCUCUUUGGCUAGAUACGUUCAUCCUGCUUCUAACUCACUACCAUAGUUCUUAGAGCUGCGAUACUUUUUAGUUGCAGGUCUGUAGCAUUUUUGGUACCUAAGCAAGAUGGGAGAAAUGUCGAAGGUAGACCUGAUGGUGGCAGCGGUGCUGUGUAGUUUGGACCUGUCUUUGUGGCUCUUCGGAGCAGUUUAUGGCCCCAGUGCCUUUUUGUAAUAUCUUGCUCUAGGAGCACUCUUUUGCAAACUGUAAAACUUUUGUCUUGCACGUUUUGUAUGGCAUCCUUGGUGUGACUUGAUAUCUUUUACAUACUUUAUUGGAUGACUGUAAUA